RNAcentral lists this ribosomal RNA (465 nucleotides) under Vreelandella stevensii. Its description in RNAcentral is "partial 16S ribosomal RNA". It matches the Rfam family "Bacterial small subunit ribosomal RNA", at positions 338 to 795 of the family's 1533-position model. The record is from RNAcentral. Lineage: Bacteria; Pseudomonadati; Pseudomonadota; Gammaproteobacteria; Oceanospirillales; Halomonadaceae.
CCUACGGGUGGCAGCAGUGGGGAAUAUUGGACAAUGGGGGCAACCCUGAUCCAGCCAUGCCGCGUGUGUGAAGAAGGCCCUCGGGUUGUAAAGCACUUUCAGUGAGGAAGAACGCCUGGUGGUUAAUACCCAUCAGGAAAGACAUCACUCACAGAAGAAGCACCGGCUAACUCCGUGCCAGCAGCCGCGGUAAUACGGAGGGUGCGAGCGUUAAUCGGAAUUACUGGGCGUAAAGCGCGCGUAGGUGGCUUGAUAAGCCGGUUGUGAAAGCCCCGGGCUUAACCUGGGAACGGCAUCCGGAACUGUCAAGCUAGAGUGCAGGAGAGGAAGGUAGAAUUCCCGGUGUAGCGGUGAAAUGCGUAGAGAUCGGGAGGAAUACCAGUGGCGAAGGCGGCCUUCUGGACUGACACUGACACUGAGGUGCGAAAGCGUGGGUAGCAAACAGGAUUAGAUACCCUUGUAGUC